RNAcentral lists this ribosomal RNA (677 nucleotides) under uncultured bacterium. Its description in RNAcentral is "bacterial SSU rRNA". It matches the Rfam family "Bacterial small subunit ribosomal RNA", at positions 796 to 1471 of the family's 1533-position model. The record is from RNAcentral.
CACGCCGUAANCGCUGAGUGCUAGGUGUUAGGUCCUUUCCGGGACUUAGUGCCGACGCUAACGCAUUAAGCACUCCGCCUGGGGAGUACGACCGCAAGGUUGAAACUCAAAGGAAUUGACGGGGGCCCGCACAAGCGGUGGAGCAUGUGGUUUAAUUCGAAGCAACGCGAAGAACCUUACCAGGUCUUGACAUCCCGAUGCCCGCUCUAGAGAUAGAGUUUUUCUUCGGAACAUCGGAGACAGGUGGUGCAUGGUUGUCGUCAGCUCGUGUCGUGAGAUGUUGGGUUAAGUCCCGCAACGAGCGCAACCCUUAUUGUUAGUUGCCAUCAUUAAGUUGGGCACUCUGGCGAGACUGCCGGUAAUAAACCGGAGGAAGGUGGGGAUGACGUCAAAUCAUCAUGCCCCUUAUGACCUGGGCUACACACGUGCUACAAUGGUUGGUACAACGAGUCGCAAGCCGGUGACGGCAAGCUAAUCUCUGAAAGCCAAUCUCAGUUCGGAUUGUAGGCUGCAACUCGCCUACAUGAAGUCGGAAUCGCUAGUAAUCGCGGAUCAGCACGCCGCGGUGAAUACGUUCCCGGGCCUUGUACACACCGCCCGUCACACCACGAGAGUUUGUAACACCCAUAGUCGGUGAGGUAACCAUUUAUGGGGCCAGCCGCCUAAGGUGGGANGGA